UUAAGUUAGAAAGGGCGCACGGUGGAUGCCUUGACACUAGGAGUCGAUGAAGGACGGGACUAACGCCGAUAUGCUUCGGGGAGCUGUAAGUAAGCUUUGAUCCGAAGAUUUCCGAAUGGGGAAACCCACCAUACGUAAUGGUAUGGUAUCCUUAUCUGAAUACAUAGGGUAAGGAAGACAGACCCAGGGAACUGAAACAUCUAAGUACCUGGAGGAAGAGAAAGCAAAUGCGAUUUCCUGAGUAGCGGCGAGCGAAACGGAACAUAGCCCAAACCAAGAGGCUUGCCUCUUGGGGUUGUAGGACAUUCUAUACGGAGUUACAAAGGAACGAGGUAGACGAAGCGACCUGGAAAGGUCCGUCGUAGAGGGUAACAACCCCGUAGUCGAAACUUCGUUCUCUCUUGAAUGUAUCCUGAGUACGGCGGAACACGUGAAAUUCCGUCGGAAUCUGGGAGGACCAUCUCCCAAGGCUAAAUACUCCCUAGUGAUCGAUAGUGAACCAGUACCGUGAGAGAAAGGUGAAAAGCACCCCGGAAGGGGAGUGAAAGAGAUCCUGAAACCGUGUGCCUACAAAUAGUCAGAGCCCGUUAACGGGUGAUGGCGUGCCUUUUGUAGAAUGAACCGGCGAGUUACGAUCCCGUGCGAGGUUAAGCUGAAGAGGCGGAGCCGCAGCGAAAGCGAGUCUGAAUAGGGCGUUUAGUACGUGGUCGUAGACCCGAAACCAGGUGAUCUACCCAUGUCCAGGGUGAAGUUCAGGUAACACUGAAUGGAGGCCCGAACCCACGCACGUUGAAAAGUGCGGGGAUGAGGUGUGGGUAGCGGAGAAAUUCCAAUCGAACCUGGAGAUAGCUGGUUCUCCCCGAAAUAGCUUUAGGGCUAGCCUUAAGUGUAAGAGUCUUGGAGGUAGAGCACUGAUUGGACUAGGGGUCCUCAUCGGAUUACCGAAUUCAGUCAAACUCCGAAUGCCAAUGACUUAUCCUUAGGAGUCAGACUGCGAGUGAUAAGAUCCGUAGUCAAAAGGGAAACAGCCCAGACCGCCAGCUAAGGUCCCAAAGUGUGUAUUAAGUGGAAAAGGAUGUGGAGUUGCUUAGACAACUAGGAUGUUGGCUUAGAAGCAGCCACCAUUUAAAGAGUGCGUAAUAGCUCACUAGUCGAGUGACUCUGCGCCGAAAAUGUACCGGGGCUAAAUACACCACCGAAGCUGCGGAUUGAUACCAAUGGUAUCAGUGGUAGGGGAGCGUUCUAAGGACAGUGAAGUCAGACCGGAAGGACUGGUGGAGUGCUUAGAAGUGAGAAUGCCGGUAUGAGUAGCGAAAGACGGGUGAGAAUCCCGUCCACCGAAUGCCUAAGGUUUCCUGAGGAAGGCUCGUCCGCUCAGGGUUAGUCAGGACCUAAGCCGAGGCCGACAGGCGUAGGCGAUGGACAACAGGUUGAUAUUCCUGUACCACCUCUUUAUCGUUUGAGCAAUGGAGGGACGCAGAAGGAUAGAAGAAGCGUGCGAUUGGUUGUGCACGUCCAAGCAGUUAGGCUGAUAAGUAGGCAAAUCCGCUUAUCGUGAAGGCUGAGCUGUGAUGGGGAAGCUCCUUAUGGAGCGAAGUCUUUGAUUCCCCGCUGCCAAGAAAAGCUUCUAGCGAGAUAAAAGGUGCCUGUACCGCAAACCGACACAGGUAGGCGAGGAGAGAAUCCUAAGGUGUGCGAGAGAACUCUGGUUAAGGAACUCGGCAAAAUGACCCCGUAACUUCGGGAGAAGGGGUGCUUUCUUAACGGAAAGCCGCAGUGAAUAGGCCCAAGCGACUGUUUAGCAAAAACACAGCUCUCUGCGAAGCCGUAAGGCGAAGUAUAGGGGGUGACACCUGCCCGGUGCUGGAAGGUUAAGGAGAGGGGUUAGCGUAAGCGAAGCUCUGAACUGAAGCCCCAGUAAACGGCGGCCGUAACUAUAACGGUCCUAAGGUAGCGAAAUUCCUUGUCGGGUAAGUUCCGACCCGCACGAAAGGUGUAACGAUUUGGGCACUGUCUCAACCAGAGACUCGGUGAAAUUAUAGUACCUGUGAAGAUGCAGGUUACCCGCGACAGGACGGAAAGACCCCGUGGAGCUUUACUGUAGCCUGAUAUUGAAUUUUGGUACAGUUUGUACAGGAUAGGCGGGAGCCUUUGAAACCGGAGCGCUAGCUUCGGUGGAGGCGCUGGUGGGAUACCGCCCUGACUGUAUUGAAAUUCUAACCUACGGGUCUUAUCGACCCGGGAGACAGUGUCAGGUGGGCAGUUUGACUGGGGCGGUCGCCUCCUAAAGUGUAACGGAGGCGCCCAAAGGUUCCCUCAGAAUGGUUGGAAAUCAUUCGUAGAGUGCAAAGGCAUAAGGGAGCUUGACUGCGAGACCUACAAGUCGAGCAGGGACGAAAGUCGGGCUUAGUGAUCCGGUGGUUCCGCAUGGAAGGGCCAUCGCUCAACGGAUAAAAGCUACCCCGGGGAUAACAGGCUUAUCUCCCCCAAGAGUCCACAUCGACGGGGAGGUUUGGCACCUCGAUGUCGGCUCAUCGCAUCCUGGGGCUGUAGUCGGUCCCAAGGGUUGGGCUGUUCGCCCAUUAAAGCGGUACGCGAGCUGGGUUCAGAACGUCGUGAGACAGUUCGGUCCCUAUCCGUCGUGGGCGUAGGAAAUUUGAGAGGAGCUGUCCUUAGUACGAGAGGACCGGGAUGGACGCACCGCUGGUGUACCAGUUGUUCUGCCAAGGGCAUAGCUGGGUAGCUAUGUGCGGAAGGGAUAAGUGCUGAAAGCAUCUAAGCAUGAAGCCCCCUCAAGAUGAGAUUUCCCAUAGCGUAAGCUAGUAAGAUCCCUGAAAGAUGAUCAGGUUGAUAGGUUCGAGGUGGAAGCAUGGUGACAUGUGGAGCUGACGAAUACUAAUAGAUCGAGGACUUAACCAU
RNAcentral lists this ribosomal RNA (2919 nucleotides) under Bacillus anthracis (anthrax bacterium). RNAcentral describes it as "23S ribosomal RNA". It matches the Rfam family "Bacterial large subunit ribosomal RNA". Lineage: Bacteria; Bacillati; Bacillota; Bacilli; Caryophanales; Bacillaceae. The record is from RNAcentral.